UCUUGGUCAUUUAGAGGAAGUAAAAGUCGUAACAAGGUUUCCGUAGGUGAACCUGCGGAAGGAUCAUUAAAGAAAUUUAAUAAUUUUGAAAAUGGAUUUUUUUGUUUUGGCAAGAGCAUGAGAGCUUUUACUGGGCAAGAAGACAAGAGAUGGAGAGUCCAGCCGGGCCUGCGCUUAAGUGCGCGGUCUUGCUAGGCUUGUAAGUUUCUUUCUUGCUAUUCCAAACGGUGAGAGAUUUCUGUGCUUUUGUUAUAGGACAAUUAAAACCGUUUCAAUACAACACACUGUGGAGUUUUCAUAUCUUUGCAACUUUUUCUUUGGGCAUUCGAGCAAUCGGGGCCCAGAGGUAACAAACACAAACAAUUUUAUCUAUUCAUUAAAUUUUUGUCAAAAACAAGAAUUUUCGUAACUGGAAAUUUUAAAAUAUUAAAAACUUUCAACAACGGAUCUCUUGGUUCUCGCAUCGAUGAAGAACGCAGCGAAAUGCGAUACGUAAUGUGAAUUGCAGAAUUCCGUGAAUCAUCGAAUCUUUGAACGCACAUUGCGCCCCUUGGUAUUCCAGGGGGCAUGCCUGUUUGAGCGUCAUUUCCUUCUCAAACAUUCUGUUUGGUAGUGAGUGAUACUCUUUGGAGUUAACUUGAAAUUGCUGGCCUUUUCAUUGGAUGUUUUUUUUCCAAAGAGAGGUUUCUCUGCGUGCUUGAGGUAUAAUGCAAGUACGGUCGUUUUAGGUUUUACCAACUGCGGCUAAUCCUUUUUUAUACUGAGCGUAUUGGAACGUUAUCGAUAAGAAGAGAGCGUCUAGGCGAACAAUGUUCUUAAAGUUUGACCUCAAAUCAGGUAGGAGUACCCGCUGAACUUAAGCAUAUCAAUAAGCGGAG
Molecule: ribosomal RNA, 878 nt
Filed under: uncultured fungus
Lineage: Eukaryota; Fungi
Description: eukaryotic LSU rRNA
Rfam family: 5.8S ribosomal RNA (bases 432-585)
Source: RNAcentral